RNAcentral lists this ribosomal RNA (415 nucleotides) under uncultured bacterium. Its description in RNAcentral is "bacterial SSU rRNA". It matches the Rfam family "Bacterial small subunit ribosomal RNA", at positions 28 to 433 of the family's 1533-position model. The record is from RNAcentral.
GAUGAACGCUGGCGGCGUGCUUAACACAUGCAAGUCGAGCGAAGCGCUUUGGUUAGAUUCUUCGGAUGAAGACCUUUGUGACUGAGCGGCGGACGGGUGAGUAACGCGUGGGUAACCUGCCUCAUACAGGGGGAUAACAGUUAGAAAUGACUGCUAAUACCGCAUAAGACCACAGUACCGCAUGGUACAGGGGUAAAAACUCCGGUGGUAUGAGAUGGACCCGCGUCUGAUUAGCUGGUUGUGGGUAACGCCUACAAGGCGACGAUCAGUAGCCGGCCUGAGAGGGCACCGGCACAUUGGGACUGAGACACGGCCCAAACUCCUACGGGAGGCAGCAGUGGGGAAUAUUGCACAAUGGGCAAAGCCUGAUGCAGCGACGCCGCGUGAGCGAUGAAGUAUUUCGGAUGUAAAGCUC